This 234-nucleotide long non-coding RNA is filed under the name Coccomyxa subellipsoidea. Its description in RNAcentral is "long non-coding RNA (CSUB_LNC000040)". The record is from RNAcentral. Lineage: Eukaryota; Viridiplantae; Chlorophyta; Trebouxiophyceae; Coccomyxaceae.
CUUCUGGCAGCCGCCGCGUGUGCACAGGAUGCCUCCCAGCGGCGGCCUUUCCCCGGCGGCUCUUCACUGCUCUGUUGCCUCGGUCCUGCCCUGGCUCGAUUGCACCAUAUCCGGCUGCUGUGGGCGUCUCUUCUGAGUUGUUGCUGCUCCGAGCGCGCUUGCGAGUGGCGGCUGCCUCUCGCUGCUGAUUGACACCUCUGCGCAGCCGUGGAGAGUUGUCUGCUUCUGCACCAG